This 492-nucleotide ribosomal RNA is filed under the name uncultured bacterium. Its description in RNAcentral is "partial 16S ribosomal RNA". It matches the Rfam family "Bacterial small subunit ribosomal RNA", at positions 29 to 507 of the family's 1533-position model. The record is from RNAcentral.
AGUGAACGCUGGCGGUAGGCCUAACACAUGCAAGUCGAACGGCAGCACAGUAAGAGCUUGCUCUUACGGGUGGCGAGUGGCGGACGGGUGAGGAAUACAUCGGAAUCUACUUUUUCGUGGGGGUUAACGUAGGGAAACUUACGCUAAUACCGCAUACGACCUACGGGUGAAAGCAGGGGAUCUUCGGACCUUGCGCGAUUGAAUGAGCCGAUGUCGGAUUAGCUAGUUGGCGGGGUAAAGGCCCACCAAGGCGACGAUCCGUAGCUGGUCUGAGAGGAUGAUCAGCCACACUGGAACUGAGACACGGUCCAGACUCCUACGGGAGGCAGCAGUGGGGAAUAUUGGACAGAGGGCGCAAGCCUGAUCCAGCCAUACCGCGUGGGUGAAGAAGGCCUUCGGGUUGUAAAGCCCUUUUGUUGGGAAAGAAAAGCAGCAGGUUAAUACCCCGCUGUUCUGACGGUACCCAAAGAAUAAGCACCGGCUAACUUCGUG